RNAcentral lists this ribosomal RNA (555 nucleotides) under uncultured bacterium. RNAcentral's name for it is "partial 16S ribosomal RNA". It matches the Rfam family "Bacterial small subunit ribosomal RNA", at positions 355 to 900 of the family's 1533-position model. The record is from RNAcentral.
UAGGGAAUCUUCCACAAUGGACGCAAGUCUGAUGGAGCAACGCCGCGUGAGUGAAGAAGGUUUUCGGACCGUAAAGCUCUGUUGUUGGUGAAGAAGGAUAGAGGUAGUAACUGGCCUUUAUUUGACGGUAAUCAACCAGAAAGUCACGGCUAACUACGUGCCAGCAGCCGCGGUAAUACGUAGGUGGCAAGCGUUGUCCGGAUUUAUUGGGCGUAAAGCGAGCGCAGGCGGAAGAAUAAGUCUGAUGUGAAAGCCCUCGGCUUAACCGAGGAAUUGCAUCGGAAACUGUUUUCUUGAGCGCAGAAGAGGAGAGUAGAACUCCAUGUGUAGCGGUGGAAUGCGUAGAUAUGUGGAAGAAUACCAGUGGCGAAGGCGGCUCUCUGGUCUGCAACUGACGCUGAGGCUCGAAAGCAUGGGUAGCGAACAGGAUUAGAUACCCUUGGUAGUCCAUGCCGUAAACGAUGAGUGCUAAGUGUUGGGAGGCUUCCGCCUCUCAGUGCUGCAGCUAACGCAUUAAGCACUCCGCCUGGGGGAGUACGACCGCAAGGUUGAAAC